Molecule: ribosomal RNA, 254 nt
Filed under: uncultured bacterium
Lineage: Bacteria
Description: partial 16S ribosomal RNA
Rfam family: Bacterial small subunit ribosomal RNA
Source: RNAcentral
UACGAGGGGGGGCAAGCGUUGUUCGGAAUUAUUGGGCGUAAAGGGUGCGUAGGCGGCUCUAUAAGUAUGGUGUGAAAUCUCCCGGCUUAACUGGGAGGGUGCGCUAUAGACUGUGGGGCUAGAGUGUGGGAGAGGAAAGUGGAAUUCCUGGUGUAGCGGUGAAAUGCGUAGAUAUUGGGAGGAACACCAGUGGCGAAGGCGGCUCACUGGACCGGUACUGACGCUGAUGCGCGAAAGCGUGGGGAGCAAACGGG